AGUGAACGCUGGCGGUAGGCCUAACACAUGCAAGUCGAACGGCAGCACAGUAAGAGCUUGCUCUUACGGGUGGCGGGUGGCGGACGGGUGAGGAAUACAUCGGAAUCUACUUUUUCGUGGGGGAUAACGUAGGGAAACUUACGCUAAUACCGCAUACGACCUACGGGUGAAAGCAGGGGAUCGUCGGACCUUGCGCGAUUGAAUGAGCCGAUGUCGGAUUAGCUAGUUGGCGGGGUAAAGGCCCACCAAGGCGACGAUCCGUAGCUGGUCUGAGAGGAUGAUCAGCCACACUGGAACUGAGACACGGUCCAGACUCCUACGGGAGGCAGCAGUGGGGAAUAUUGGACAAUGGGCGCAAGCCUGAUCCAGCCAUACCGCGUGGGUGAAGAAGGCCUUCGGGUUGUAAAGCCCUUUUGUUGGGAAAGAAAAGCAGCAGGUUAAUACCCCGCUGUUCUGACGGUACCCAAAGAAUAAGCACCGGCUAACUUCGUG
RNAcentral lists this ribosomal RNA (492 nucleotides) under uncultured bacterium. RNAcentral describes it as "partial 16S ribosomal RNA". It matches the Rfam family "Bacterial small subunit ribosomal RNA", at positions 29 to 507 of the family's 1533-position model. The record is from RNAcentral.